GACGAACGCUGGCGGCGUGCCUAAUACAUGCAAGUAGAACGCUGAAGAGAGGAGCUUGCUCUUCUUGGAUAAGUGGCGAACGGGUGAGUAACGCGUAGGUAACCUGCCUUGUAGCGGGGGAUAACUAUUGGAACCGAUAGCUAAUACCGCAUAACAAUAGGUGACACAUGUCAUUUAUUUGAAAGGGGCAAUUGCUCCACUACAAGAGGGACCUGCGUUGUAUUAGCUAGUAGGUGAGGUAACGGCUCACCUAGGCGACGAUACAUAGCCGACCUGAGAGGGUGAUCGGCCACACUGGGACUGAGACACGGCCCAGACUCCUACGGGAGGCAGCAGUAGGGAAUCUUCGGCAAUGGGGGCAACCCUGACCGAGCAACGCCGCGUGAGUGAAGAAGGUUUUCGGAUCGUAAAGCUCUGUUGUAAGUCAAGAACGAGUGUGAGAGUGGAAAGUUCACACUGUGACGGUAGCUUACCAGAAAGGGACGGCUAACUACGUG
Molecule: ribosomal RNA, 497 nt
Filed under: uncultured bacterium
Lineage: Bacteria
Description: partial 16S ribosomal RNA
Rfam family: Bacterial small subunit ribosomal RNA
Source: RNAcentral